GGAGACUUCCACCAGGAUGGCCCAAUCCCCACCCUGGAGGACGCGGCUAGCUUCUCCUAGGUUACAUCUCAAGGGGGGUGAGGGGCAUGACCCUGAUGAGCUGAACUCCCAGGAUCCUUUCAACACCAGCAAGCAACUGAACUCGGAAGGCAAUGGCUGGAGAGAAACAGGCAGAGGAAGGACUGAAGGACAGAAGGACAUGUCCCCGAUCGCCUACCUCGCAACAGUUCCCAAGAGAUGCUCUCUGAGCCACCUCUGUGGAAAACAACAACUUAGAAAAGACAGAAGUGAAUUGAAAGACCUUUUCCAGGUUUGGGGCCAAGAGACUCUCAGAAUAGUCUCGACAAACAGGGCCCAAUCCAGGGAACGGUGCUCCCCACUUUCAGGCUGGUCUUCUUGUAUCAAUUAAGGUAACCAAGGCACUCCUCCAUAGACAUGCCCACAGACCAACCUGACUUAGAUGAUCCACAAUUGAGACUCUCCCACCAAGUGAUUCUAAGUUGUGUCAAAUUGACAGUUGAAGCAACCCAUCUACACAUCUGCCUUGUGCUAUUCUUCUGAUAGAGCCCCUGGUUCCCUC
Molecule: long non-coding RNA, 580 nt
Filed under: Cricetulus griseus (Chinese hamster)
Lineage: Eukaryota; Metazoa; Chordata; Mammalia; Rodentia; Cricetidae
Description: lncRNA (ENSCGRG00015016935.2)
Source: RNAcentral